This 366-nucleotide ribosomal RNA is filed under the name uncultured Glomeromycotina. RNAcentral describes it as "LSU rRNA". The record is from RNAcentral. Lineage: Eukaryota; Fungi; Glomeromycota.
UUGAAAGGGAAACGAUUGAAGUCAGUCGUACCGACGAGAAAUCAGCUUUUCGAAUGUGCAUUUGUGGGCGUAUGAGAUCUUCAUUGUUUGCAAUAUGUAUGUUUCUUUGGUGUACUUUUUCGUAUGGUAGGUCAAUGUCGGUUUUGAUCGCCAUAAAAUGACCGGAGGAAUGUAGCUUCGGCUUCGGUUGAAGUGUUAUAGCCUUUGGUAGAUGUGGUGAUUAAGACCGAGGAUUGCAACGAAUACCUUUUAGGCUAUCCGUCUGACCUCUGAAAGUUACUUAGGUGCCGAAAGCUUGCUUACGGUCAUUUAAGUUGACGGUCAAUAGGUUAGAACGUGAUUACAUUCGUUAAGGAUGUUGACGUA